UCCUCUACCUGCUAAUGAGUAUUUAUGAGUGAUUGCUCAGCUUUUUAGGUUCAGUUGGUUGGUUUGGCAUGUUAGAAGCUAUUAUCUAUAUCAUUAAAGCUGGUAUAAUUUAAUAUUUCUUCAUUUAGCAUCAGUUUAAAAAAAAAUUGCAUAUAUUAUGAAUAGUUUAAACAUAAUUUGUCAAGAGAGAUUACUAUGUUUUCAGAUACAGAAUUCCUUGUUAGCCCUUUAUUCAAGACAAUACACGAGAGCUAGUAACUAGAUAUGAAAGAUAGAUUAUUUAGGGUGCCUACAGAAGAUUUUGAUUUGGGUCUUGGAACCAUGAUUUAGUUUCCUACAUGUGUCAUUACCCCAGUAUUGUUAUGGGGGCUUUCUGUUUGCAAUCUUUCUUCUCUUUUCAUUCCUAGGACUUUUUUUUUAUUCUGAAAAUUAGUUUUCUGAAUAUAUUUUUUGUAUUAAAACUAAAAUCUGGAAUAAAGGGAGCACGACCAAAUAAGUUGGAGGCGUUGCUUAGCGAAGAUUCUUGUUUAUGGAUAUGUAGAUGUGUUGGAAUUUUGAAUAUUUAUCAUAUAAAAAUUUAUGUUAAAAUUUAAAUUUCUAGUAAUUGGACUCUUAUUCAGGCUUUCACCAAGUAAGUCAAGG
RNAcentral lists this long non-coding RNA (642 nucleotides) under Phaseolus vulgaris (common bean). RNAcentral's name for it is "long non-coding RNA (PVUL_LNC001575)". Lineage: Eukaryota; Viridiplantae; Streptophyta; Magnoliopsida; Fabales; Fabaceae. The record is from RNAcentral.